CUCCGGGUUGAUCCCGCCGGACCCGACUGCUAUCAGAGUGGGACUAAGCCAUGCGAGUCAACGCAGCAAUGCGUGGCAUACGGCUCAGUAACACGUAGUCAACAUGCCCAGGGGACGUGGAUAACCUCGGGAAACUGAGGAUAAACCGCGAUAGGCCAAGAUUUCUGGAAUGGAUAAUGGCUGAAAUCUAUAUGGCCCCUGGAUUGGACUGCGGCCGAUCAGGCUGUUGGUGAGGUAAUGGCCCACCAAACCUGUAACCGGUACGGGCUCUGAGAGGAGGAGCCCGGAGAUGGGCACUGAGACAAGGGCCCAGGCCCUAUGGGGCGCAGCAGGCGCGAAACCUCUGCAAUAGGCGAAAGCCUGACAGGGUUACUCUGAGUGAUUUCCGUUAAGGAGAUCUUUUGGCACCUCUAAAAAUGGUGCAGAAUAAGGGGUGGGCAAGUCUGGUGUCAGCCGCCGCGGUAAUACCAGCACCCCGAGUGGUCGGGACGUUUAUUGGGCCUAAAGCAUCCGUAGCCGGUUCUACAAGUCUUCCGUUAAAUCCACCUGCUUAACAGAUGGGCUGCGGAAGAUACUAUAGAGCUAGGAGGCGGGAGAGGCAAGCGGUACUCGAUGGGUAGGGGUAAAAUCCGUUGAUCCAUUGAAGACCACCAGUGGCGAAGGCGGCUUGCCAGAACGCGCUCGACGGUGAGGGAUGAAAGCUGGGGGAGCAAACCGGAUUAGAUACCCGGGUAGUCCCAGCUGUAAACGAUGCAGACUCGGUGAUGAGUUGGCUUAUUGCUAACUCAGUGCCGCAGGGAAGCCGUUAAGUUUGCCGCCUGGGGAGUACGGUCGCAAGACUGAAACUUAAAGGAAUUGGCGGGGGAGCA
This 869-nucleotide ribosomal RNA is filed under the name uncultured archaeon. RNAcentral describes it as "bacterial SSU rRNA". It matches the Rfam family "Archaeal small subunit ribosomal RNA", at positions 1 to 878 of the family's 1478-position model. The record is from RNAcentral.